RNAcentral lists this ribosomal RNA (253 nucleotides) under uncultured bacterium. RNAcentral's name for it is "partial 16S ribosomal RNA". It matches the Rfam family "Bacterial small subunit ribosomal RNA", at positions 524 to 776 of the family's 1533-position model. The record is from RNAcentral.
UACGGGGGGGGUAAGCGUUGUUCGGAAUUACUGGGCGUAAAGAGCGUGUAGGCGGCCGUACAGGUCAGCUGUGAAAACUCGAGGCUCAACCUCGAGACGUCGGUUGAAACCGUACGGCUAGAGUCCGGAAGAGGAGAGUGGAAUUCCCGGUGUAGCGGUGAAAUGCGCAGAUAUCGGGAAGAACACCCGUGGCGAAGGCGGCUCUCUGGGACGGUACUAACGCUGAGACGCGAAAGCGUGGGGAGCGAACAGG